Molecule: small nucleolar RNA, 106 nt
Organism: Hibiscus syriacus
Lineage: Eukaryota; Viridiplantae; Streptophyta; Magnoliopsida; Malvales; Malvaceae
Source: RefSeq, a predicted model, not a curated record
AAUUCGUGCAUGGGACAUCUUCGUAAAAGCUCCUUGUAUCGCUUCUAAGCUUCAUACAUGCAUUCGUCAUCUGCUUGUCAAAAAGAAGAAAUAUCCUUACGAAAUU